This is a long non-coding RNA of Conger conger (European conger), 2113 nucleotides long. RefSeq lists it as uncharacterized. Lineage: Eukaryota; Metazoa; Chordata; Actinopteri; Anguilliformes; Congridae. The transcript is spliced from 2 exons. The record is from RefSeq and is a predicted model, not a curated record.
GAUGUUUGCAUAAUGGAAUCACGGACUGAAGAGAUGAUCGUGCUGUACCCCUUUGAGUGUGGGCCAACUACUUGGGUUUCCUGGCCCAAGAGUGGAGCUUGGAGGCUGUGAAGCUUGAAUAUGGCAUUGAACCCUGUUCCUGAGAAAAUGUCCUACUCGUAUUCCACUUUAUGUGACUGUAUGUGACCUGCGAUGGGCAGGUGUCACAAAGGUGUACAAGAAUAGGCAAUAUGCAUGGGUGUCAGUUAAUCUAGCAAUCAUACUACCUUAAAUAUAGUAGUUUCUGAAAAGGUAAAAUGAAUUGUCAUUGAAUAAAUUAAUAAAUAAAUUGAUGGGAACUUAAUAUUUUGGUUUGUUUUGAAAUAUAACAGGAUGACACAUUCUGGACGCGUCACUGAAUGCUGAAUGCCAACCCCCCAACUGACACCGCUGCCUUGUUCCAAAUCGCAUCUUUUAAAAUUGUACAGUGGGCAGAGACUGGGCAAAAGCUGGUGUUUCAUUAUUACCCUUUAAGUGCUUUUUUGUUAAGUCCAUGUCACUGCAGCUUCAAUUAUUAACAGUGUAUACAUUACCAGGGGAAAUAAAACCUGAAAAUCUGAGAUUCUAAGGCGUGGCUGUCUUUGCAGAUGCAGCUGCCUCUGUCAAAUACUUUUCUUCUACUUUGCUAAAUUGAAGAAGCUGUAUACCUACGCCCUGAUGAAGCCCAUUGGCUAAUGAAAUGGGCAAACACCUCCAGUCCCAAAAAGCAAAAAACCAAUGUCUCUGACAAUUUUUUUCUUCUUAUAUGUCAGCCUCAAAAUGGCUACUGUGACUGUCAUUGGCGCAACUCUGGUCCUCAUGUUGACAAAAGUCAAUCACUGAUUCCAGUAAAAAGCCUAGAAUCUAGACUAGAUACUGAAAGCUCUAUUAUACCUGCACUAAGGAAGUGAUUGAAUGCAUCUGAUUAAUGAGAAGCAACUGAGAAGUCAAAUGUAUGGAACAUUAAAAUUUUUAAAUCUAUAUAUGCACAUGUAUUUUGUUAAAAAAUGAAGAAAAAGUAAAAGUAUGCAUGUGUGUCAUUUACAGUAUGUUAGAAUUCAGAUUUGCAGAAUCAUUGUUCUCGUGUGUGCUGCUUUUCAACAUUUUUCUUGUCCCUUUGUCAUGGAUCCUUAUGUCAAUGCUUACUUUGUCAUAUGCAAUGAAAUAACAGAAACGACAAUAUGCCGGGGGGAAAAUGUAAAAUUUAUUUCCAAAUAUCAAUAACACUUUCAUCAAGAACUUUCACUGUUUGUGGCUUUUACUUCCUCUGCAGAAUGAACAUCAAUUAGACUUUUUGGAAAAUAGUAACAUAUAAUGAUCACAAAUGAAGAAUAGCAAGUUAUGGCUCUGAAAAGAAACAGGAAGAGACAGAAGAGGACACUGGCGAUCAUUAUGUGAUCUAGAUCCUAUGAACUACUAGCCAUGUAAUAUCAGGAUGAAUGCCUGUAGAGCUAGCAAGAGACUGUGGAAUAUGAGUCAGAGAGACAGAGUCAAAAUGGAGUUUGGAGAACUUCGAUGGUGGAGAAAUCUCCAGCCUUCUGGGUUGAAAGCCUACCCUGGAUCAGGUAGGCCUACAACUUGUUGCCUGUCUCCUCCACUGGAUUAUCUCCAUUCACCUGCUGCCUGGGCUACCUAUGUUCCCUGAGGAGGAGAGGGAGGUGGAGGUGCCGGCGGCUCAGCUCCUCUUUUGGCGGGCCCGUCAACCUGGAAGAGGGCCUGAACCACACUUUUAAAAAGCGUCACUGAAAUGCGGAGGUUCACCGACCACCGCCGGGGCCCUGCCCGCACUACACUGUCAGCCAGAAGGUCUGGCUGUCUUCCAGGGACAUUCCCCUCCACUCCACCUGCCCCAAGCUUACCGCCAGAUUCAUUGGCCCCUUCACCAUCACCCGUGUUCUCACCCCUUCUGCAGUCAGACUUUGCCUCCACUCCCCACCCGUCUCAUCAAAGUUCCUGGAGGAGUGGGAGGGGUACAGGCCCGAGGAAAACUUGUGGGUGCCUAAACACCACAUCCAAGUGCCACCAGAAUCAUCCACAAAGAAAUCUGAGAUAAAAAUAUAAAUAUAUUUGUAUAAAUAUACAAUUCAUCCAGUUA